This 383-nucleotide ribosomal RNA is filed under the name uncultured cyanobacterium. Its description in RNAcentral is "bacterial SSU rRNA". It matches the Rfam family "Bacterial small subunit ribosomal RNA", at positions 376 to 774 of the family's 1533-position model. The record is from RNAcentral. Lineage: Bacteria; Bacillati; Cyanobacteriota.
CGAAAGCCUGACGGAGCAACGCCGCGUGAGGGACGAAGGCCUCUGGGCUGUAAACCUCUUUUCUCAAGGAAGAAGAUAUGACGGUACAUGAGGAAUAAGCCACGGCUAAUUCCGUGCCAGCAGCCGCGGUAAUACGGGAGUGGCAAGCGUUAUCCGGAAUUAUAGGGCGUAAAGCGUCCGCAGGCGGCUUUUCAAGUCUGCUGUUAAAACGUGGAGCUUAACUCCAUCAUGGCAGUGGAAACUGAAAGGCUUGAGUAUGGUAGGGGCAGAGGGAAUUCCCGGUGUAGCGGUGAAAUGCGUAGAUAUCGGGAAGAACACCAGUGGCGAAGGCGCUCUGCUGGGCCAUUACUGACGCUCAUGGACGAAAGCCAGGGGAGCGAAAG